RNAcentral lists this ribosomal RNA (460 nucleotides) under uncultured bacterium. Its description in RNAcentral is "partial 16S ribosomal RNA". It matches the Rfam family "Bacterial small subunit ribosomal RNA", at positions 338 to 795 of the family's 1533-position model. The record is from RNAcentral.
CCUACGGGAGGCAGCAGUGAGGAAUAUUGGUCAAUGGACGAGAGUCUGAACCAGCCAAGUAGCGUGAAGGAUGACUGCCCUAUGGGUUGUAAACUUCUUUUAUAUGGGAAUAAAACGUUCCACGUGUGGGAUUUUGUAUGUACCAUAUGAAUAAGGAUCGGCUAACUCCGUGCCAGCAGCCGCGGUAAUACGGAGGAUCCGAGCGUUAUCCGGAUUUAUUGGGUUUAAAGGGAGCGUAGGUGGAUUGUUAAGUCAGUUGUGAAAGUUUGCGGCUCAACCGUAAAAUUGCAGUUGAAACUGGCAGUCUUGAGUACAGUAGAGGUGGGCGGAAUGCGUGGUGUAGCGGUGAAAUGCUUAGAUAUCAUGAAGAACUCCGAUUGCGAAGGCAGUUCACUGGACUGCAACUGACACUGAGGCUCGAAAGUGUGGGUAUCAAACAGGAUUAGAUACCCUUGUAGUC